RNAcentral lists this ribosomal RNA (497 nucleotides) under uncultured bacterium. RNAcentral describes it as "partial 16S ribosomal RNA". It matches the Rfam family "Bacterial small subunit ribosomal RNA", at positions 28 to 507 of the family's 1533-position model. The record is from RNAcentral.
GAUGAACGCUGGCGGCGUGCCUAAUACAUGCAAGUCGAGCGAACAGAUAAGGAGCUUGCUCCUUUGACGUUAGCGGCGGACGGGUGAGUUACACGUGGAUAACCUACCUAUAAGACUGGGAUAACUUCGGGAAACCGGAGCUAAUACCGGAUAACAUAUUGAACCGCAUGGUUCAAUAGUGAAAGGCGGCUUUGCUGUCACUUAUAGAUGGAUCCGCGCCGUAUUAGCUAGUUGGUAAGGUAACGGCUUACCAAGGCAACGAUGCGUAGCCGACCUGAGAGGGUGAUCGGCCACACUGGAACUGAGACACGGUCCAGACUCCUACGGGAGGCAGCAGUAGGGAAUCUUCCGCAAUGGGCGAAAGCCUGACGGAGCAACGCCGCGUGAGUGAUGAAGGUCUUCGGAUCGUAAAACUCUGUUAUCAGGGAAGAACAAAUGUGUAAGUAACUGUGCACAUCUUGACGGUACCUAAUCAGAAAGCCACGGCUAACUACGUG